Small nucleolar RNA from Xenopus tropicalis (tropical clawed frog), 83 nucleotides. Lineage: Eukaryota; Metazoa; Chordata; Amphibia; Anura; Pipidae. The record is from Ensembl.
UGCCAAGGAUGUAUCCUGAAUUCUGACACCUCAUAUGAAACUGUAACAACAGCUUCUUGAUUCUGUCCUUUGGGCUGAGGCAA